Molecule: long non-coding RNA, 393 nt
Organism: Phalaenopsis equestris
Lineage: Eukaryota; Viridiplantae; Streptophyta; Magnoliopsida; Asparagales; Orchidaceae
Exons: 3
Source: RefSeq, a predicted model, not a curated record
UUUUUGCGAGAAAAUCCCAGAAUCUGGAUGGAAACCGAAUGCAGAGGAGCUCCAAGAAUCCAAAGUAGUCCAUGCCCUAAUUUUAAUCCUUCAUUUCAAUCGAUCUUCCUUUCAUGGCAUUCGUUGCUAUCUCGAGAUGUAAUAUAGAGCGAGAUGAUUCAGAAAGAAAGAGGAAAGGGAUCGAGCAAGCGACGAAGGUGUAGUCGGCUGCGGGCUCCUCGAAUCUAAUAGGAUUGCUUGGAGGAUUGGUCAUCUGAAAACAAGUUCAGUGGCACAAGCCAAAGAAUAUUCAAAUGAGGACCUCAAGGCUCAAGCUCCAAAGUUGAUGCGGAAAAAUGUACAUGAAUGUACAAAUCAGUACCAUUUCUAUCCCCCACGCCCUGACAUUUGGAA